Stylophora pistillata is the source of this 1113-nucleotide long non-coding RNA. The record is from RefSeq and is a predicted model, not a curated record. Lineage: Eukaryota; Metazoa; Cnidaria; Anthozoa; Scleractinia; Pocilloporidae.
GUCUUUUCUCUUUUCUUUGCAGCAGUAGCAGCAGUCAGGAGUCUCAAGAAAAGAAGUCAAAAACUUGCGACGAGUUUGAGAAAAGUACGUCAGAGAUACUCGGAGAGAAGAAUAUUAGAUCCCACAAAUCAAGCACGAGUUCGGAAGAAGAUGACCUGAAGAAAAAACACUUCGCAAACAGAAUUGACAAUGUUACAAAAAGUAAAACAAAGUCAGGUAUUAAUCAAGAAAAGCAGGAAAUACAGGUUAUACUAGGGCUUGGAGCUUAUUCAGACACCAGUGAUUCAGACUCGUCUUCUAAUGAAUCAUAAUGAAGUAGUAUCUGGUGAAUCAACUUUGUUCUCAGUGGUUGGAAGAAAGGUCGCACAACAGAAUCUUGCACCUCAUGAUUCUUCAGUAUGCCGUCAAUUUAAAGAUACGUUCAAGUAAAUAAGUUGAUUGUGUUUCUUCUAAAUGUAAGCCAUGAGAAGGAAUUGUAAGCCAUUUGAAAGGUUAUCAUCAGGACUGGACGCUUUUAGUGUGGUAAUGUUCAAGUGCAACGUGGAAAGAAGCCUUCACAAUAACAGUGAAUGCAACUUUGCACUUUUAGUUUUCAUUAAAAAACUUCAGAAUUCCACAGAAAUCCAAUCUUUUUUUCAGUUUUUAUAAUAUUAAUUUGUAGUCUUUCUCUCAGUAAACGCUAGUUCUGUCUGAUAAGGCUGUUGAAGAAAUCUUGAGAGUUGUUAAUCGUUAGUCCACUCCAAAAGAUAACGAACAGCUAACGUUCCGUUUGUAAUUUGUAGGUAAAGAUAAGCGUGUCAAAUUUAGAAGAAAAUUCACCGCCGUAGUGAUUAAAGAAAAGCAUGAUUACUCGGUCGGAGCUAAUUUCAGCGCCUUGCUCCAACGGUGAGUUCAUGCAAGAAACGUCAGCUUGUCUUUGGAUCGCAUCAAAAAACUAGCAGACAACAUUCCUACCCCGAAACCUCUGAGGUUAACCAAAAAUUAUAUUUGAAAUUUAAGCUUCACGAAGUGUUGCAUUUCAUGGAUGAGAUCUUGACAGACCAGAAAGAUCAUUAACCGGUUAACUCUGCUGGCUGGUUCCAGAUAAAUCGAAUAAAAAUAUACAUUUUUUUA